CCUCAAGUGGCAUCUGUACCAAUGUGUGAAUGAGCUCUCUCCUCUACUCUGACGUGUCGCUGCACCUGUCAGCAGGCAAGACAAUGUCAACAGAUGCCAAGGCUACAAAACCAUCAGCCCUUUGAUUGAACUGACAGUUUUGGGAUUGAAUGGCAAGCUCAGAAGCAGAGAAGAGAAGGAUGCCUCCAUGAAAUAAGCUGUCAAAAUGUGAGCAGAGCCUUCGGUGCAGAUUGUUGGAUGUGAAUUGAUCUGAACCCUCC
This is a long non-coding RNA of Stegostoma tigrinum, 260 nucleotides long. RefSeq lists it as uncharacterized. The record is from RefSeq and is a predicted model, not a curated record. Lineage: Eukaryota; Metazoa; Chordata; Chondrichthyes; Orectolobiformes; Stegostomatidae. The transcript is spliced from 3 exons.